AGAACGAACGCUGGCGGCAGGCCUAAUACAUGCAAGUCGAACGCACUCUUCGGAGUGAGUGGCAGACGGGUGAGUAACGCGUGAGAACCUUCCCAAUGGUACGGAAUAACUCCGGGAAACCGGUGCUAAUACCGUAUAAGCCCCUCGGGGGAAAGAUUUAUCGCCAUUGGAUGGGCCCGCGUCGGAUUAGCUAGUUGGUAAGGUAAUGGCUUACCAAGGCUACGAUCCGUAGCUGGUCUGAGAGGAUGAUCAGCCACACUGGGACUGAGACACGGCCCAGACUCCUACGGGAGGCAGCAGUAGGGAAUCUUGGACAAUGGGCGAAAGCCUGAUCCAGCCAUGCCGCGUGAGUGAAGAAGGCCUUAGGGUUGUAAAGCUCUUUUGGCGGGACGAUAAUGACGGUACCCGCAGAAUAAGCCCCGGCUAACUUCGUGCCAGCAGCCGC
Molecule: ribosomal RNA, 445 nt
Filed under: uncultured bacterium
Lineage: Bacteria
Description: SSU rRNA
Rfam family: Bacterial small subunit ribosomal RNA
Source: RNAcentral